This 443-nucleotide ribosomal RNA is filed under the name uncultured bacterium. RNAcentral's name for it is "partial 16S ribosomal RNA". It matches the Rfam family "Bacterial small subunit ribosomal RNA", at positions 338 to 795 of the family's 1533-position model. The record is from RNAcentral.
CCUACGGGUGGCAGCAGUGGGGAAUAUUGGGCAAUGGGCGCAAGCCUGACCCAGCAACGCCGCGUGAAGGAAGAAGGCCUUCGGGUCGUAAACUUCUUUUGUCAGGGACGAAGCAAGUGACGGUACCUGACGAAUAAGCCACGGCUAACUACGUGCCAGCCGCCGCGGUAAUACGUAGGUGGCAAGCGUUAUACGGAUUUAUUGGGUGUAAAGGGCGUGUAGGCGGGAAUGCAAGUCAGAUGUGAAAACUAUGGGCUCAACCCAUGGCCUGCAUUUGAAUCUGUAUGUCUUGAGUGCUGGAGAGGCAAGCGGAAUUCCGUGGGUAGCGGUGAAAUGCGUAGAUAUACGGAGGAACACCAGUGGCGAAGGCGGAUUGCUGGACAGUAACUGACGCUGAGGCGCGAAAGCGUGGGGAGCAAACAGGAUUAGAUACCCGUGUAGUC